This 1697-nucleotide long non-coding RNA is filed under the name Numida meleagris (helmeted guineafowl). Its description in RNAcentral is "lncRNA (ENSNMEG00000018768.1)". Lineage: Eukaryota; Metazoa; Chordata; Aves; Galliformes; Numididae. The record is from RNAcentral.
UGUUUAAAAAGAACAAAACCAAAAAGAGGAUGACUGUUUGGUCAGUACAAGAGGGCCACUGUUUGUUACGUGGUUUCUAUUGUGAUUCUUCUGAAGCUGAUUUUAACUGCAAAGGUGGCCACAUGGUGAUCACUGUGAAGAAGCAGUGAGUUUGCUCAUUGCACUUUUAGAUUUCCUUUGAAACUCCAAACAACAAAAUAGUGCCCUCAGCAAAACCUGAAGGUAGCAGAAAAUCCAUCUGUUGGGCUGAUGAAGGUGACACGUGUAACUUUGUGCUGCCUACUGUCCCCACUUCCAUCCCUUUAAUUGAUAUUUGAACCACCCCAAUUCCCAUAUUAAUUAGUCUGUAGUAGGUUUAAUUGCAUUGUACUACGUUUUUUUUUUCCCAAUGAACUGAACUUUUUAAUGAGUAUUCACUUCUUAAUAACAAAUUUAAAAAGUGGACUGUUCUUUUGUGGGAGAGGACAAUGAAACUCCUCCCCUUAGCUUCUAUAUUUGUAUAUGUGUAUAUAUAUAAUAUAUAUGUGUGUGUUUAUAUACAUGGACAUUUUUAAUAGUUUGAUUUGGACACUAGGUAGUCCUUUUAUGUUUUUCUCUUUGUUAUAUGUGAGUUGCAUGACGUUUAAUGCACAUACUGCCUUUCUGUCCCUUAUUCCCUCUAAGCAGGGCAAAGACAACGAGGAGAUGCAGCAGCAAGAGGACUGCUGCAUGAGGAAAGGCAGUGAAGGUCAUCGGGUGCUGGGAGGUGGAUGAGUGGAGUCCGGCCAGAGGCGUGGCAGCAGAGGACGAGCAUCCCAGUAGUUUUACAGCAGGAGCAGUGACCCUUGCUUUGUUUCUGCAGGAAAUGAGGAUCUUUUUUUAAGCCUGAACCCACGAUUUUAUUCAGCCGUGAUCGCUGAUGACAAAGCAGCAGCCCGUGGUUACCACGAGGUGUGGGCAACGAAAGUGAACCAGAAGCACGCCCGUGUUCCUGUUCCAGAUCAGGCACUUCUCCCUGGAAUGCCUGCGGCCGCCUGGCAGCCUGGAGCCCUUCCUCGACAGAAGCUCCCGCUCACCUUACAGCACCGCUUCGGUGAGUGAAACCCCCAGAGCGUGCUGCUAGAAGUGAGGUCGGGGGGGAUUUCACUUGGGCAGGACUGCAGGAGUCACUGGAAGAGAGUAGGUUCCUGUGUGAAGGCAGCUUGUAUCUUACCAGGAAAUCUACAGCGCUAGGGAAGUUCACAACACAAACUGCUUUUUUCCUCUGUUGCCGUUGUUAUUACUUUUGAUUAAAAACCAGAAGAAAACAAAAAAAAAACUGUUGUCAUAUUUGGUACAAUACAGGAAGUCAGAGAAAAGCUAUUGUACAGCAAUUUUUAACCACCAACACACAUUUAAUAUCUAGUGUAGCGUUAUGGAAAACUCAAUGUAUGUUUGGACUUCUUAAUGCUUCCAAAAAACUUUACUAUUGAAACAUAUAUGCGAUGUGGAUUGUAUGCUCAUAAUCUCACUGUAGUCAAGACAACAUACAGUAUGACUCGUAGGUACUGUAAAAAUGCUAACUAAAGAAUGCAGCUGCAAAGUACUAUUGCAUAAGGAAGCUUUCUUGUUUAAACUUUAAAUAAGCAAGUUUAUUAAAAUAUUCUAAGACACUUACCUUACCCUAGUUACUGGCAAGCUCUAAUAAAAGCCACAGUCUGUCACUAGUAUACUUUUCU